This 478-nucleotide ribosomal RNA is filed under the name uncultured Alphaproteobacteria bacterium. Its description in RNAcentral is "bacterial SSU rRNA". It matches the Rfam family "Bacterial small subunit ribosomal RNA", at positions 9 to 524 of the family's 1533-position model. Lineage: Bacteria; Pseudomonadati; Pseudomonadota; Alphaproteobacteria. The record is from RNAcentral.
GAGUUUGAUCGUGGCUCAGAACGAACGCUGGCGGCAUGCCUAACACAUGCAAGUCGAACGGGAUCCAGGCUUCGGCCUGGUGAGAGUGGCGGACGGGUGAGUAACGCGUGGGAACCUGCCCAAUGGUCUGGGAUAACCGCGGGAAACUGCGGCUAAUACCGGAUAAGCCCGAGAGGGGAAAGAUUUAUCGCCGAUGGAGGGGCCCGCGUCCGAUUAGGUAGUUGGUGAGGUAACGGCUCACCAAGCCGACGAUCGGUAGCUGGUCUGAGAGGAUGAUCAGCCACACUGGGACUGAGAUACGGCCCAGACUCCUACGGGAGGCAGCAGUGGGGAAUAUUGGACAAUGGGGGCAACCCUGAUCCAGCAAUGCCGCGUGAGUGAUGAAGGCCUUAGGGUUGUAAAGCUCUUUUGGCGGGACGAUGAUGACGGUACCCGCAGAAUAAGCCCCGGCUAACUUCGUGCCAGCAGCCGCCGUAAC